AAAGUCAUAUAUAGACAAACGUCUUUCUAUCGACUGGUUUGCCACUUAUACCAAUGAAAAAAUAGUCAUAGUUAAUUUUUAGAACAAAUAUAUGGAAAUGCGAAUACCCAUACCAUGUUAGGACUCCAACCCAAAUGAACAUGUUCCAAUACAAGAAUCUGAUCAAAGUUUUCUGAUUAAUUUCAAAUGAAACAUAGUAGAAAAUAGAUACUAUAAAAUUUUAUAAAAAGAGAUUUUGUAACCUGUUAGGCCAGCAUGAUGUCUGUACCUUCCUUUAGGAAAAAAUACCCCAAAACUAUGCUAAAUGUGUGAAUAGCACAUUUCGAAAAGGACUCCAUAUAACUUACAUCGAAAUUGAGUCCACUUCCAUCUACCCGACCUGGUUCACCCUUUCGUUCGCCUCACGACUCGCAUGGUACAUUGGCACUACAUCUCAUCUUCCUCUCGCCCCCACCUUCCCACAACCCACCCACCCUCUGGCGCCAUCCUCAACGCUGUCAGCUUCCAUCGCGCUGUCCAUUCCCUACU
This 528-nucleotide long non-coding RNA is filed under the name Setaria viridis. RNAcentral describes it as "long non-coding RNA (SVIR_LNC007313)". The record is from RNAcentral. Lineage: Eukaryota; Viridiplantae; Streptophyta; Magnoliopsida; Poales; Poaceae.